AUGGGUAGCCUCAGUCAGAUGGAUGGAGAGAAAUGCAGCCUUGAGGAACUGUUUUAAACACGUGUGAUCAGAAACUCUAGAAAAAAAGAAUUUCAGCAUAUAUUUUGGCUACUUUCCAAAAUGUGAGUUUAUUUGGAAUUAUUUCUAGAACUAGGUGGGUGGGCACCAAAAUCUUUUUCUUGUUUAAAGCCCUGGAAGGAGCGAGGGUUUGACAGGAGCCCCAAACAUGCCUCCAAGAGAAGAGGCCAGGGGGAGUGUCGCGAUGAAGGCCCUGUGGCUUGAGACAAAUGAGAAGAGAGGGAGAGAGCUGAGACGCGGGCUGUUCGCUUGGUGGUUCCUCAGUCGCCAGGGCAGCCUGACUGUGAAGGAGCUGCUGCAGCUCGCGGGAGCCCAGGAACAGUGACCCCGCCCUCGGAUCCCAGGUGCACGAGGCUGGCUGAGAUUUCAACGACAGUAGUCAGGUCUGCACAUGGGGAAAGGUCACGGCUCAUAAUAGCUUGGAUUGUUCAACCUAGACAUGUGCGGAUUAGGAAACAAGACGCAGAGAGACUCCGACCCGCUCAAGGUGAAAGUUCCACUUGGUGGCUGAGCCAGCCAAGGAUGCCUGCGUCCUGACAUCCAGCCCUGAGCUCUUCUGAAGAUGAGGGGACUCUUAAGAAUACACAAUACUUCCAGGCUUUUUGUUCCGACAGAAGUAAGUUUGCAAAGCAGUUGCGGAGGACUCUCUGAAGAAGGGCAAACAGUCCCCGAGGGGGUGGAGCUGCUGGCUCCAGGAGCUCUGUUGCCAGCAAGUAUUAAUUCACUCCGGCUGGCGCUGUCUUGGGGGCCUCCCGCGCACAAUAGCAUUAAGAGUGUUGGCAGCUGCGGAGGGAGAAGGCCCGCUCCACCUGGGAAUGAGGAAGAUGUGACUCCUCGCAAGGUUGCUCUCCUCCCAGCUCCCGCUCUUGGGAGAGAUGAUCAGUGCUUACGGGCCUGGGAGCAGGCUGCUGAGGACACAGUGUUCCCGGGGAUGGUGGCAGAUCUUGGAGAAGGGACAGAAGCUGGGCCAAGAGACUGGAACUUAUGCAAAUCAGGCCUGAGGAUGGUUCAAGGAGGGGGCAGCCCCUGCCUUAUGCCUCCCCGUCAGCAUACCCAGAACCAGACUCCUCAGGAGGAACAUCUUUUGUCUUCAAUGCUAAGCUUGUUCACGAGGAUGUGUGUGAGCAAAAUAUUGCUUAGGAAUGUGCACUCUGGAGCAGACUGUGUGGGUUCAAAUCCUGGCAUCAUCAUUAACCAGCUGUGUGACUCUGGGCAAGAAAAAUUGUGGAAGCUCUCUGACUUUUUUUU
Molecule: long non-coding RNA, 1326 nt
Filed under: Equus asinus (donkey)
Lineage: Eukaryota; Metazoa; Chordata; Mammalia; Perissodactyla; Equidae
Description: lncRNA (ENSEASG00005033009.1)
Source: RNAcentral